UCUGAUAUGGUGUAGUGGCUAACAUGAUCACCUCUCACGGGAUAGCCCGGGGUUCGAUUCCCCGUGUCGGAA
Molecule: transfer RNA, 72 nt
Filed under: Trametes cinnabarina
Lineage: Eukaryota; Fungi; Basidiomycota; Agaricomycetes; Polyporales; Polyporaceae
Description: Pycnoporus cinnabarinus tRNA
Rfam family: tRNA
About the family: Transfer RNA (tRNA) molecules are approximately 80 nucleotides in length. Their secondary structure includes four short double-helical elements and three loops (D, anti-codon, and T loops).
Source: Rfam by way of RNAcentral